GAUGAAGAACGCAGUGAAAUGCGAUAAGUAGUGUGAAUUGCAGAAUUCAGUGAAUCAUCGAAUCUUUGAACGCACAUUGCGUCCUUUGGUAUUCCAAAGGGCAUGCCUGUUCGAGCGUCAUUUGUACCCUCAAGCUUUGCUUGGUGUUGGGCGUCUUGUCUCUAGCUUUGCUGGAGACUCGCCUUAAAGUAAUUGGCAGCCGGCCUACUGGUUUCGGAGCGCAGCACAAGUCGCACUCUCUAUCAGCAAAGGUCUAGCAUCCAUUAAGCCUUUUUUUCAACUUUUGACCUCGGAUCAGGUAGGGAUACCCGCUGAACUUAAGCAUAUCAAUAAGCGGAGGA
This 341-nucleotide unclassified non-coding RNA is filed under the name soil metagenome. RNAcentral's name for it is "partial contains 5.8S ribosomal RNA, internal transcribed spacer 2, and large subunit ribosomal RNA". The stretch from base 1 to 120 matches the Rfam family "5.8S ribosomal RNA", at positions 35 to 154 of the family's 154-position model. The record is from RNAcentral.